RNAcentral lists this long non-coding RNA (553 nucleotides) under Homo sapiens (human). RNAcentral describes it as "non-protein coding lnc-TRIM29-6:1". The record is from RNAcentral. Lineage: Eukaryota; Metazoa; Chordata; Mammalia; Primates; Hominidae.
CAGGCAAAGACGACCCUAAGAAGCUGACAGGCAAAAUCUCAUCAGGUGCACAGUCUGUGCAAACUUGCUGGGAGGAGCAGGAGAAGCAGCACUCAGCUGUCUCAGUCAGCUUUGCCAAGUUUUCUCAGAAGUACUCAGUGCUGGAAGGCCAUGUCUGCUAAAGAGAAGGGAAAAUCUGCAGACAGGGCAAAGGUGGAAAAGACCUGUUAUGAAAGAGAAAUGAAACCCGUAUCUCUCCUAAAGGGGAGACAGAAAAAAAGUUAAAAGAUCCUAAUGCACCCAAGAGGCCUCCUUUGACCUUCAUCUUGUUCUUUCCUGAAUAUUGCCCUCACAUCAAAGGAGAACAUCCUGGCCUGUCCAUUGGUGAUGUUGCAAAGGAGCUGGAAGAUGUGGACUAACACGGCGGCAGAUGACUAGCGGCCAUAUGAAAAGAGGGCUGUGAAGCUGGAGGAAAAAUGCCAAAGGAUAUUGCUGCAAACUGAGCUAAAAGAAAGUCCGAUGCAGCAGAAAAGCAAGUUAUCGGGGCUGAAAAAAGCAAGGAAAAAAAAGGAAG